GUAAUUGGUUUGUGUGAUGGUAUUCAAUUCUUUGGAUCCGGUCUUGUCUGGUGGUUGUGGUGGUGAGAUGAGGGCGAUGGUGGUUGUUUAAUCCCUAGUUUGUGUGGUGGAGAUGGUGGCUGAGGUGGUGACUGAUAGUGUUGGUGGUGUUCGUUGUGGUGACCGAUUGUGUUGGUGAUUGAUGGGGGUGGCGGUCGCUGUGGUAACUGAUGUUGACAGUAGUGGUCGUUGCAGUAAGUGGCGCAUUUCUCUGUUGUGGUGAUGAAUAUGUUGAUGUGCUAUGGUGUUGAUAGGUUGUCAUGAGGUGGUGGCAGCUUUGUUGGCGGCGGUGGCGGCGCUCUGUUGUUGUGGCAACGGUAAUGGUGAUAGUGAUGGUGGUUGUGGCAGUCGUGGCAGUGGUCAUCAGUGGGAAUAAAUGGGGUUGGAUGCUUGUGACCAACUUUUUUUUGACUAAUAAUUGAUGAAUUUGGAAUAUGUGACCUACAAAUUGUGACCCUGUCUUAGAAAUAAUUAAGUUGUGAUCAAAAAAUUAAUCGUGACCAAUUAAUCAAAUAAUUUGUAAAGAAUAAAUGAGUUGUAGCCAAUAAAUUUUUUUUGAUUCUAUGACUAAUGAAUAAUCUAUGACCGAUAAAAUUUUUGAUUCGUGACAAAAAAUAAUAUGCGACUUAUAAAUUUUUUGAUUUGUG
Molecule: long non-coding RNA, 686 nt
Filed under: Olea europaea subsp. europaea
Lineage: Eukaryota; Viridiplantae; Streptophyta; Magnoliopsida; Lamiales; Oleaceae
Source: RNAcentral